RNAcentral lists this long non-coding RNA (371 nucleotides) under Solanum tuberosum (potato). RNAcentral's name for it is "long non-coding RNA (STUB_LNC001469)". Lineage: Eukaryota; Viridiplantae; Streptophyta; Magnoliopsida; Solanales; Solanaceae. The record is from RNAcentral.
CAGCAAUCUGAUCUUUUUUGGGAGGAUAGAGAGGCUUUACUUGAGGUUGUUCAAUUUUUCCAUUAGAUGCAUUAGACUUGGGAACCUGUCUUUCGAUGUUACUGGAAAUUCUGGGAAAAUGAAAUAUGCAAAUAAGACAUUUAUCUUUUCCUAUGUUAUCUAUAACACCUCUUCUAUUAUUUGAAUUAGAAAGUGAUUGUGUUUUUUCUAAUUACAGGGACAAGUUUCUUAAACAAUGGGGCCAAUCUAAAAGAAGUUUGAAGGCCUGCAAUGGAAGUUUUUGCUUUUUGACCAUAUGUAUAUGCAUAUACAAUUGAAAUAUUUUUUUUUAUUUUGAUCACAUGUAUGUAUAUGGAUACAACAUUAAUGGA